AUGUUUCAUAAAUACAUUACUAUCACAUAAGCAGUUACCAUUGGCGGUUAACUGCCUGCGAUCUUUAGGUUCUUUAAGUGCUCUGUAUAGAGAUGUUAGGAUCUCAAGCGAUAAAAUAGAAAGUAGUUCUAUUGGAAUCAAUUUCCAAAAUCCAGUCUUUGCUUGACUCUCAACUUUAUAGAUACAACAGCAAGAGCAACUACUUAACAAAAUUUAGCAACAUAUGUUUUCUCUGAACAAACAGUUAAAGAACCUCAGCUAGUAUCUGACUAUCUGUUAGUAAUAGCGCAGAAACCUAUAACUUGU
Molecule: long non-coding RNA, 306 nt
Organism: Rhododendron vialii
Lineage: Eukaryota; Viridiplantae; Streptophyta; Magnoliopsida; Ericales; Ericaceae
Exons: 3
Source: RefSeq, a predicted model, not a curated record